Long non-coding RNA from Cavia porcellus (domestic guinea pig), 318 nucleotides. RefSeq lists it as uncharacterized. The transcript has 3 exons. Lineage: Eukaryota; Metazoa; Chordata; Mammalia; Rodentia; Caviidae. The record is from RefSeq and is a predicted model, not a curated record.
CAGCAACCUUUCAAGGAGGCAGUAGAAUGGUGAUUUCCAGGGUCUGAGGAUGAGGGGCAUGUGUUUCAUUCCUUGACUUAAAGAAACUGAACAGUAGAAGAAAGAACACUGGGUGGCAGAUGGGGCCACAAUGAAGUACAGGAGGAGGUGUCCCUGCGAGGUCAGCAUCAGCCCCAGAUCACCCUACGGGCCACUCUUGAGAGAAUGAACUCUAAGACACCAAGAACGAUGGUGUGAAACAUUGUCUGACAAUCUAUGAAAACAGUGGUGUGGUUUCUUGGAUAAGUGCAUUUUGAAGUUUCUGGAGGAAAUAAAAAC